CCGAGAAUUGGCAAUGCAAGGAUAAUUCCGGGGCAACUCCUCCUACCAACACCGAAAGGAAGAAAUCUAAAGUCAUUGCCAUUGGCCUCAACGUGCUUCUCCUCUUCGAAGAACCUCUCAGGUCUGAACUCUUCAGGUUUCUUCCAGUGAGCGGGGUCAUUAGCUAGCCACCAAGCGUUAACCAAGAUUUUGCUCUCAGCUGGAAUAUCGUAUCCAGCAAGCUUAGCAUCAUGAAGGUUCAUGUGUGGGACUAAAAGAGGAAUUGCCAUCCUGAGUCUAAGAGUCUCCUUGAUCACAGCCUGAAGGUACGGAAGCUUGGGCAUGUCUGGCUCAGUUACUUGCACUCCUGGUCCAAGAACUGUAUCAAUCUCGUCACGGAGUUUCUUUUGGAUGUGAGGGUGGUUGACUAGUUCCGCGAUACCCCACUCAAUUGACCAUAAUGUUGUUUCGAUUGCUGUUCAUGACAAUAAUUAAGCAUAUUAGCCGAAUAAUCAACUAACCAAGAAGUUUAUGAACAGAUAUAAACAACUAAACAUGCUUCAAUGGUUCAAAUAAAGCUCACUUAUUGCUCAGUACAAGACAAAGCGACGAAACUACUUUAGGACCAGAGGCAAUUCCAAGAUCUACAAUUAGUGAGCUCAAAAUGAGUAUGAUUUUGUCAUAUAUAUAUAAUAGAUCCUUCUUUCAUAUGCAUGCACACUACAGACCAAAAGCAGUUAGUUCAGUAAAACUCAGAAAACCGCUUAAAUCCAUUUUUGUUUGAGACUUUGGCCUUAUAGUAUAUCAUACAGUUCACUUUGUUACUUAUUUACGGUUCUACUUGAAUGUUACCAUAACAGCUUAUUUUCAAAAAUUACAUCAGUGCUUUUGUUUGUAGACAAAAUAAUGAUACUAAAUAUCUUUUAGUACAUUACUCCACUAUCAUGAUCAUAAUUAACACGAGUUGUUUCAAGUCAUUACUUAUGGAAAGUUAGAUGCCUUAAAAUGUGCACCAACAACCCUGUCUACCUAACCCCCAUCAAGAAAAUUGGCAAGUACACCAACCAUAUCAAACUGUUACCUAUCCCCUUAUUUGGAACUUCUCACCUACUACUUUUGAUUAAAAAACAGAGUAAAUCGGAACAGGGAUCCAUCAGGCUUACGCCCAUUCCGGAAAGUUCCUCACUGCUGCCCCUCACAGGAAUCUGGGCCAUGUUUCAGUCCUAGUGCAGUUGAUCAUCCUCUAAGACCAGCUACUGAUCAUCCCUCUGCAAAGUGAUUGUCACACUAACUAGCUAACCACACGCGAGCCCCUCGGGUGGAUUCCUCCUUUUCUUUAGCAAUUAGUUGCUGUUCCCCACCCAAAUGCAUUCACUUAUAAAUUACUUUUCUUAGUUUCUGACUAGGAUGAUUAAAAAUCAUGUAACAACUGACAAAAUAAGUUCCUUAAACUUUGGUGCAAAUCCAAAUACCGUACAAAAAAAAAAUGUGGAGGUGACAUUGUCAUUCUUGGUUUACCAGUCAAACACACCAUUCUGUUAUUCUUAUCCAAAAGACUCGUGAGGAUUCCAAACCAAGUACCGUUAAAAGUUAUUUUCAACAUUUUCACAAGGAGAUGCACAUGCUAAACCAAACUAGAACAAAGUAUGUUCAGAGAAUUAAAAAGUAUUUUGAAACAUACCAGCAACAUUAAUGUUCUCAACAAUGUAAAGAACGUUAUCCUCGUUGAUCUCUCCCUUCUGUUGAGCAUCAAGAAUGUGAUCAAUGGCACAUUUUAGAGCAUUGCUGUCCAUGCUCUUGGUAUUUGCAAGCUUCCUGCACAAAGCAAUAAAAAUAUGUUAAAAACUAAUUGUACCUCAAAGCACUUCAUCUAGCCAGACCUUACAGACAAUAUUUGGCUAAACUAUCCUUCAUCUCUCUUUAAAGGAAACCGCAUAAUUAACACAACCCUAAUAUCAAAUGUUUUGAAGAAAAUUUAAGUCGCCACAACAACUCAAAUUUAAACCAGAGGAAUUUCUCCCUCCAAUCCUUUUUAUUUACAGCUUUAACCAAACAAAUUUGGUCCAUAAUACAAGUUAACAUCUAAUUAAUUUAGUCAAAAUCUAGUAAGAAAAUAGACCGCAAACUUAACUCAAUCUCAAAAGCGCUCAAUUGCCCAAAGACCAUAUGAAGAGUUCAAUCACACCAUUCCACACCAAAUGGGACUUCCAACACCACCCCUGCACACAGGCCUACCAUCUAGAGCAUGGACAACACAUAUAGGACACAACAUUGGGUAAACGAAGAAUUAGAAUAGCUUGGCUCGGAUACCAUGAUAAGAAAGUACAGACAUAGAACCUAACUAAACCCAAAAGUUAUCUCAUCACCCCUCAUUGAGAAUUGUCUAAACCACAUGAAAGUCCAGUCACACCAUCCCUCAUUGAUGCAGGACUGAGUAAAGUUUGGUUCCUUAGAUUGAUCCUAUAAUCCUAGACAAUAAGACAGCACUUUGUGAUGUGAUCACUGAUCCCCACAUUCAAAGAUCAUUACCAACAAUACACCUAAUUUAUAAAAGAGACCGAGUAAAGAUAGGUUCUUUAGAUUGAUCCUAUGUCCUACACAUUUACAUCAAGAAAAUAAAACUAGGGAAAAUCAAUAAUUGAGCAUAAAGGAGAUAAAGUGAACUGAACUUACUUUCUUUCAUCAACAAAGUAGUCUUUGAAUAGCUUCAACCUUUUCUCCUUAACCUCCUUGCAAAUCUUCAAGUACCCUCUCAAGAAAGGCCUCAAAAUAGGGAUAAAAUCACCAUAGUUGUACUCAAAGCUCUGAGCCAAUCUACUCCUCUCACCAUUCAAAGCCCUAAGCUUUACAAAAAGAGGAUCAUCUUCACUCUCAAAUCUCCUAUCAAACGUAAUCCUAAACAUGUUAUUAUACAUCAUAAGCUGCAAUCUUUUCCUCAAACAAUCCCAUUUGUAGCAGAUUCAGGGUUUUUCUUCACAUCCUCAACCACACUAGCAGCCUCAGACUCCCACCCCCCUCUAUACUGCUGCACCACCUUAUUAGUAAAAAAGGGUACAGUCAUAAUCCUCCUCAUUUUCCUCCAGUGUUCACCAUACACUGUAAAAACCAUAUCUUGACCCUUACCUGUAAAAAUAUCAAAAACAACAUUUCUUGUUCUUGAACCAAAUUCAACCCCUUGUGUGUGUAAAACUUCUUUAGCUAAUUCAGGGGAUGACACAACAACUAAGUUCCUUUGCCCCAUUCUAAGCAAGAAAACAUCGCCAAAUUUUUUAGCAUACUCAGUAAGGUUUCUAUGGUUCAAAUCAUCACCAACUUGAAGCCAAUUUCCAAAAACUGGGACUGGAAUUGGACCUGGGGGUAGUUUAAAUCGCUUGGAACGAAGUUUAGAGACAAUAAUAGCGAUUAAAAUAGCAAAGAAAAGACCUAUUAAGGUCUUCUCCAGUAAGAGAAGAUCCAUUUUUGGUGAGUUCUUUUAGAGGGAAGUUAGAGAAAAGAAUGUUUUAAUACUGAUUAAGUGAAAACUGUGAGUAUUUAUAGAGGAGUAAGAUGGGGGUUAGGUGAAGAGUUAACGGCGUUACGUUUAACGGAAUGGUAGAUGGGGUUAGGUAGAGGAAAGAGAGAGGUGGGGUGGGCUGGGUUGGUGAGCUCAUAAAGACUUUUGCUAAGGGCAUACAUCAUUUAAUGUUUGAUUAAUUUAAUUAUGAAGAUAAGAUUGAAUUUAGAAAUUAUCUAAUUAUUAUAUGUAUAAAUAAAUUACAAUUUGCAUAAAAGGAAAAUAAUCUCACUAAGAUUUUAUAUAACUAAUUUAUAAAUUCAAUUUAUUAUUAUUGGAAGUCUGUUUGGACAUGGUUUGAAAUUGAAAUUUUGUUUGAAUAUGCAACUUGUGAUAAGUCAAUUCCCUAAAUGGUCACCUAAGUUUAGAAAUUGCCUUGAAAUAUCAUUUAUAUUUCAUUUAUAACCAAAAUAUCACUCAACUAUCACUAUUUUCCUCUAAAUAUACUUGACACUUCAAAAGCCUCACUCUCUCCUAGUUAGCAUGACAUGUCAUUAAAGUUUUUUUUUUAAUAAUAGAUUGAUUUGAUUCAUUUAACUAAAAUAAUGAUCAUAUUAUUUUUUUAAAGGAUAUAUAUAUAUAUAUAUAUAUAUAUAUUAGUUUAUUAAGAAUAAAACUUCAUACUUAAGAAUCUUUUAUUAUAAUUCAACUUUUUAUUUUUUUAUGUUAUGAAGAAUAGGUUUUUAAAACGUACUAUAAUAGCAUCAAUUUUGAAUACUUAUAAAUAUAUAUAUAUAUUAAAAAAAAAUCGAUAUACAAAUCACUCAUUAAUGUUAACUUACAUCAAUUAAUCAUAAAUUUUAUAAUAAAUCAAUAGUAUUAAAUGUCAAUUAACUAUUAUAAUAAAAUUAAUUGUGUAUUUUGAAAUUCAUGCUUACAAUUUUUUUUCUUGAAAAAACAUAGAAAGUGAAUAAUAUUAUUACUAUUUUUUAUCAAAAAAAAACAAAUAUUAAAUAUCUCAAAAGUCUCCUUCUAUUCUAGUUGAUAUGUCAUGUUAUUAAAUCAUCAUUUUAGAGAUAAUAGACCUAUUUAAUUCAUAAACUUAUGUCUCUACAAAACAAAUAUAUAAAUUACAUGAGAAUUUAUGAAGAUUAUAAAAAAAAAACUAAUUUCUUUAUAUUUUUUUACCAAUGAAAAAAACUUUGUGUGCAAUUAUUACUUGAUAAUUUUCAAAAUCCCUAAGUAAAUUAGUUGAAAAUUUUAAGAAUAUUUUGCAUAAAAGUAUUCAAAUAAAUUUGUAAGGUUGACAAAAAAGUUGGUAAGAAAGAGAAAAUUAUUAUUUAAAUUUUUUAAAUUUGUUUUUUUAUAUUUAUUCUUUUAUUGCUAUAUUAUAUUUUAACUUAUCAUACCAUUAAACACCAAUAUAUAUUCUUAUCUUAUUCCAAAUUCAUGAAAUACAAGUAAUAAUUAAUUGAAUUGCCUAUUUUAAUUCAAUAAUAUACAUAUUAUAUGAGAUUAAUAUACUGAUAAUAAAGAUCAAAAAUUUUAUUUUCUAAUAUAAAUAUUAUUCACUUUCUAUUUUCUUUUCAAAAAAAAGAUAUUGCAAGUAUGGAUUUCAAAGUUACCCAAUUAAUUAUUUUUAAUAGUUAAUUGACCUUUAAUAUUAUUGAUUAAUUAUAUAAUAUAUGAUUAAUUAAUGUAAAUUGAUAUUCAUGAGUGAUUUAUUUAUCAAUAUUUUUUGAAUAUAUGUGUUUACAAGUAUUCAAAAUUGAUGACAUUAUAGUAAGUUUUAAAAAACUAUUCUUCAUAGCAUAAAAAUAUUUAAAAAAUAAUUAUGAUAAAGAUUCUUAAGCAUGAAAAUUUCUUCUUAAUAAACUAAUAUAUACUUUUUAGAAAAUAAUAAUAUCAUUAUUUUAGUUAAAUGAGUUUGAUGAAUUAAAUAAGUCUAUUCUUUAAAAAAAAAAAGUUUCAGUGACAUGAGUCAUGACAUGCUAACUAGGAGAGAGUAAAACUUUUGAAGUGUUAAGUAUAUUUGGAGGAAAAUAAUGAUAGUUAAAUGAUAUUUUGAUCCUAAAUGAAACAUAAAUGAUAUGUCAAGGCAAUUUUCUAAACUUGGGUGACCAUUUAGGGAAUUCACUUACUUUGUGAUUCGUCUUCUUUUCAUUUCUCUCCAUUUACGUCGAGCCUUGACAAAUCAUGGGGUAGGGAAUAGCUUGAUUUUUACGACAAUUAUUCUAAAUUAUUUUCUUUUCUUUUUAAAAAAAAUAAAGACGACAAGUAAAAUAAACAAUAGGAAAAAUCUCGACCAAAACAAGGGAGAAAACUUGUCCAAAAUCUAAAGGAUUCGUGAUUAACAUUCAACUAUCUUUAAAUGGAGUGAAAAAAUUGGCCUUCUUUUGACUAAUUUAAGUUUAUGCGAAAAUAAAGACGUAAGUUUCACCAUCCAAAAUUUAAAAGAUAUAUACUCGAUUUUCAAUUAUUUUUAAAUUGAGUGAAUCAAUUGAAUUUCUCAAACUAAUUCAAGUGUAUCAAAAGAGACAAAAUUGUCACCAAGGAUUUGUGAUCGACAUUCAACUAUCUUUUAAUUGAGUGUUUUUUUUUUAGCAGUACAAGUGUUAACAUAAUUUACGUGAUAUUAUAUGAUUGACAUAAAAUUUACUAUAUUUGUUUGAAAUUUAUGGUCCAAAAUAUUUUAAGAUUAUUUCUUGGCAAUACAUCAUUCAUCAAGGAUAAAAAUGAAAUUUUGAAGUUCAAUUAUUUUCAAUUAUAGAAAAAUGACAUUUUUUUUAGAUAAACUAAAAAAAAGUGUGUAAUGUAACUUUUAUUUAGAUACUUGAACUAUGACUUGUUCCAAAUGAACACAUGAUAAAGUGUUCCUAUUAGUCACUUUUGAUUCAAAUUUUGAAAAAAUAUUCAUCUGUGUUCACAAACAUCUAUUAGAUACUUGAGCAAAUCGCAUAAAUUAUUUCAUUGUUUAAUUGUACAUAUCAAUCUCAAUUGGAAGCAAUCUUGAUGUUCUUUUUUUAAAAAAAAAUUGGUCAAAAAAGAUAAACUAUUUUAUUAAUUAAAUAAUAAUAGUGGCGGUACUAGGGGUGAAAACUGUUUGUCCUGAGGAACGUCAAACCAAAAAAGAGUGUAAUUAGUAGUAGAGUAACUGGUAGAAGUCGAUGUAGUGGAUUAUUUUUGGAGACUAACAUGAUGUACCAAGCCAAAAUAUUUGAACCAGAGAUAUUAGUGUCUAUUUUGCCUUCUCCUUUUCAAAAUUUGAAUCGAAAAUGUUUAGUAAAAAUAUUUUAUCAUGUGUUCAAGUGCUCAAUUGAAAGUUUGGAACAAAUCAUAGUUUGAAUAUUUAAAUAAAAUUUACUCCCAAAUUUAAAAAGUUAUUGAUACAUUAAUGGUGAUUAGUCUCCACUAGAGAGCCAUGAUUAGAUGAAUAAUUAUGUAACUUAACCAAUGGUAAUAGGAGACGUUGAGACAUCAUUAUCGUUCUUUUAAAAGUACCCACAACAAUGUAGUACCUAACUAGAUUAUUUUAAUUUAAUCAUGUUCAAUUAAAAAUUACAUAACGAAGUUAGGUAAAGUAUAAAUAAGAUUUAAUCGCACACAUUUAAUUUCAUAGGCCAGGUCAAAUGGACUGUCGACCAGGGACACCAACUAUUUCCACAUAUUCAAUGUUGCAUCAUAUUAAAGUUAAGUGAACUCAUAUUAUAACACACUUAAUCAUGAUUAACAUGUAUUUACGUACUAAAUCGAUUAUUUGAUGAAUAAUAAAUUAAUAUGAUUUUGUGCAAAUACAGUAACUUCAUCCUCCGUACAGCAUCCUCAAUGUAAGCAACAAAUUAGUAGGUGAUCGAAAAGUGUCAUGACAAUAUGAGAAAUCUACUCAAUUCGCCAAAAUAAUGCAAUUGUCAGAAAGCCAAAUUACCAUUGUGCAUCAAGAAAAUACAUCAGAAAGGUAAAACUUAUAAUGAAUAAUCUAGUCCAAUAAGACUUUUAUAAAACAUAAGAAAGAAGAAUGUUUUCUGUCAAACUUAAAAGGUUUACACAAACAAACAACAAUCAUGAUUAAUUGAUAGCAUUACAAAGUUUAGAAAGAUCUUGGUUUCAUCACAAUGGUGGAAUGCUUCAAAAUGUGUAGACUGAACUGUCCACCUUUCUCCGAGGUGUCGAGCUUCGACUGUCCUGGAGGAGGCAACAUCUCAAAGUUUUGCACCAAACGUCCCAAAGUGAUGCCGAGAAUUGGCAAUGCAAGGAUAAUUCCGGGGCAACUCCUCCUACCAACACCGAAAGGAAGAAAUCUGAAGUCGUUGCCAUUGGCCUCAACGUGCUUCUCCUCUUCGAAGAACCUCUCAGGUCUGAACUCUUCAGGUUUCUUCCAGUGAGCGGGGUCGUUAGCUAGCCACCAAGCGUUAACUAAGAUUUUGCUUUCAGCUGGAAUAUCGUAUCCAGCAAGCUUUGCAUCAUGAAGGUUCAUGUGUGGGACUAAAAGAGGAAUUGCCAUCCUGAGUCUAAGAGUCUCCUUGAUCACAGCCUGAAGGUACGGAAGCUUGGGCAUGUCUGGCUCAGUCACUUGCAUUCCUGGUCCAAGAACUGUAUCAAUCUCAUCACGGAGUUUCUUUUGGAUAUGAGGGUGGUUGACUAGUUCCGCGAUACCCCACUCAAUUGACCACAAUGUUGUUUCGAUUGCUGGUCACGACAGUAAUUAAGCAUAUCAGCUGAAUAAUCAACUAACCAAGAAGUUUACGAACAGAUACAAACAACAAAACAUGCUUCAAUGGUAGGAUGUGUGACUUUUUAAGUUUAAGACCAUAUCAAAACUCAUGUAUUACUUACUACAAGGCGAUGCAAUAAAUGAAACAACUUCCGGACAAGAGGCAAUUCCAAGAUCUACCCGUUAUUGAGUUCAAAAUAUGUAUGAUCUCAUUACAUAUGUAUACAUUACAAAUUCUUUUUCAUAUGUAUGCACA
This 8439-nucleotide long non-coding RNA is filed under the name Solanum tuberosum (potato). RNAcentral's name for it is "long non-coding RNA (STUB_LNC006884)". The record is from RNAcentral. Lineage: Eukaryota; Viridiplantae; Streptophyta; Magnoliopsida; Solanales; Solanaceae.